AAAGACCCAAAGUAGGACCCACACAGCACCACCACCACCAAGCCCGAUUGCCCAUACGGCCAUACCUUCUUAGUUCUUACCCUCGUUGAAUCUUAAUUAUCUAUUUAUCAUCAUCCCUUUCAUCCGUGGAAAACUGGUACAAAACUUAUCUUCCUAAAAUACUUUCAAUCUUCCAUUAUUCAUCUUCUAAUCUCUUUAAUCUGCACAACUAUGGAGAAUUCAUCUCAAUCUCUCGUUGAUUUCUGGGGAGUAAUCACUGAAUCUAAACGAAUCAUCAACGCUCACUCUCGCCAUUUCUUGGCUCUCUCUGUUCUCUUCCUUCUUCCUCUAUCUUUCUCUCUAUCCGUCUUUCCUACUCUCCUUCACACCUUUACUUCCUCUGCACCUAACCACAUCGUAUCUCUUCUCCGCUUCUCUAAUUCCGAAAAACCCCCAAUUAUUCUUCACCCUUCUCUUCUUCUACCUCAUCACAAAACCCUAAUUUUUUCUCUUUUUUUCUUUUCCUUCAUCCUAUUCUUCUUUCUUCUUGCUGUUUCUUCCAUUACUUCUUCUGUUUUUCAUGGGUUUUAUGGUAGACCUGUUAAAUUAUUCUCCGCUGUUUCCUCUGUUGUUCGCUCUUUUUUCCCUCUUUUGAUCACUUUUAUAACUGCCCAGAUUGUUAUUUUUGUUAUAUUCUCUCUCUUUGGGGUUUUUUCUUAUGUGGGUUUUAAGGGAAUUCAGCUCAUUGUCAGAGAUUUCACCUAUAAUUCUCCUCAUUUUUAUGGGAUAUCUUCGUUUGGGGCUGUUUUAUUAGGGUUGAUUUUGGUUUAUGUUGGUGUAAAUUGGAUUCUGGUUAAUGUGAUUGUUGUGGUUGAAUCAAAAUGGGGGUUUGAAUCCUUGAAUAGAAGUAAGGAUUUGAUCAGAGGAAUGAAAUGGGUUGCACUGUCUUUGAUUGUGUUUUUCGGAUUCUUUCUGAUUGUGUUGUUGUGGAUUAGUAUCGUUUCGGGUAGUGAUCCGGCUGUACCGAUGGAUGGGUUGAAUACUUGGUUGUUUGUGGUUCAAAUUGUGGCUACUUCUGCAGUUUUUACUUUGCUUUUGCUUCAUGGGAUUGCCGCUUCCACGGUUUUGUAUAUGUACUGUAGGGCUUUGCAUGGAGAGUUAGCUGGGGAGAUAGCUCAUGAGUUUGCAUCUGAGUAUUUGAGUCUGCCUUAUGAUGAUAAAAAGGUCCCUCACGUUGUUUGUUAUGUGUAUUGAUCAAGAAUCAGCCUUUCAGGAACUAGCUUGCAGCUGUGUUGAUGUAUUCUGGAUAUUUUACUUCAGAAGGCUGACAAGGUGAUUGUACUGUAAUCAAGCAACGGUUUCCAUGUAACGAUUUAUAUAUAACUAUUCGCUAAUACAAACUUUUUCCUGUGGAUAAUGUCUUGGAAUGCACAUGCUUGAAUAACACAAAUUUUGGAGCAAAUGGCAGAUUAUAGUAUCAUUUAAACUGGUCUCUUUUUUUGGGUUAUUUCUACAAAAUGCCCAGUCCCCUUCAGCCAAUAGUAUGUGUGUGUAGCACGGCCUAUCUAAUUUCGCUAAGACUUGUACGAUUUGAAUCCUACAUCAACUUCACUUUUGUUUCUUAAUCUAGCUGUGUUUUGUAGUUGUACGUGUGUUUAUUGAGAGCUUAUUCAUGAUGGUGUACUGGUUAUAGGUUCCUUUGGCUGGAUUAUUACAGGGCAGUUGAUUGUUGAAGUUCGUUGUAUAUGAAUGGCUCUAAUACAAAUGGCGGAUGAAAGAUCAGUGAUUACUCGACAGGACGAGUUCAUGCAUCACGGUGUCCAUUGUUCAUAUGGUGUCUAUUCCCUAUAGCUUCUUAUGAUAGUAGUUAGUAUCAUACUAUAUCUCAUUGUAGCUCUAAUGCUAGUUCAGGCAUAGAAGUGAAAUACUGGAUCGGUUUUUUUAUAAAUUCUGUAAAGAAAGUAUGACCAAAUUCGUCUCAACUUGAUAUAUAAAAUUUUAAUAUUAUAUUUUUUUA
RNA transcript from Amaranthus tricolor (Joseph's coat), 1996 nucleotides. RefSeq lists it as uncharacterized. The record is from RefSeq and is a predicted model, not a curated record. Lineage: Eukaryota; Viridiplantae; Streptophyta; Magnoliopsida; Caryophyllales; Amaranthaceae. The transcript is spliced from 3 exons.